GAUGAACGCUGGCGGCGUGCCUAAUACAUGCAAGUCGAGCGAACAGACGAGGAGCUUGCUCCUCUGACGUUAGCGGCGGGCGGGUGAGUAACACGUGGAUAACCUACCUAUAAGACUGGGAUAACUUCGGGAAACCGGAGCUAAUACCGGAUAAUAUAUUGAACCGCAUGGUUCAAUAGUGAAAGACGGUUUUGCUGUCACUUAUAGAUGGAUCCGCGCCGCAUUAGCUAGUUGGUAAGGUAACGGCUUACCAAGGCAACGAUGCGUAGCCGACCUGAGAGGGUGAUCGGCCACACUGGAACUGAGACACGGUCCAGACUCCUACGGGAGGCCGCAGUAGGGAAUCUUCCGCAAUGGGCGAAAGCCUGACGGAGCAACGCCGCGUGAGUGAUGAAGGUCUUCGGAUCGUAAAACUCUGUUAUUAGGGAAGAACAAAUGUGUAAGUAACUAUGCACGUCUUGACGGUACCUAAUCAGAAAGCCACGGCUAACUACGUG
This 497-nucleotide ribosomal RNA is filed under the name uncultured bacterium. Its description in RNAcentral is "partial 16S ribosomal RNA". It matches the Rfam family "Bacterial small subunit ribosomal RNA", at positions 28 to 507 of the family's 1533-position model. The record is from RNAcentral.